GGGGACUCCGAGUGCGAGGGCAUAUAGCCCUCGCUUUUCUGUACCGUAAGGUGGUACAGGAACAAGGACUGGGCAAGACCGGUGCCAGCCGCCGCGGUAAUACCGGCAGUCCGAGUGAUGGCCGAUAUUAUUGGGCCUAAAGCGUCCGUAGCCGGCCGGACGAGUCCGUUGGGAAAUCGACGCGCUCAACGCGUCGGCGUCCAGCGGAAACUGUCCGGCUUGGGGCCGGAAGACCUGAGGGGUACGUCCGGGGUAGGAGUGAAAUCCUGUAAUCCUGGACGGACCACCAAUGGGGAAACCACCUCAGGAAGACGGACCCGACGGUGAGGGACGAAAGCUAGGGUCUCGAACCGGAUUAGAUACCCGGGUAGUCCUAGCUGUAAACGAUGCUCGCUAGGUGUGCCGUAGGCUACGAGCCUGCGCUGCGCCCUAGGGAAGCCGAGAAGCGAGCCGCCUGGGAAGUACGUCUGCAAGGAUGAAACUUAAAGGAAUUGGCGGGGGAGCACACAACCGGAGGAGCCUGCGGUUUAAUUGGACUCAACGCCGGACAUCUCACCGGUCCCGACAGUAGUAAUGACGGUCAGGUUGACGACCUUACCCGACGCUACUGAGAGGAGGUGCAUGGCCGCCGUCAGCUCGUACCGUGAGGCGUCCUGUUAAGUCAGGCAACGAGCGAGACCCGCACUUCUAGUUGCCAGCAAUACCCUUGAGGUAGUUGGGUACACUAGGAGGACUGCCAUUGCUAAAAUGGAGGAAGGAACGGGCAACGGUAGGUCAGUAUGCCCCGAAUGGACCGGGCAACACGCGGGCUACAAUGGCUCUGACAGUGGGAUGCAACGCCGAGAGGCGACGCUAAUCUCCAAACGGAGUCGUAGUUCGGAUUGCGGGCUGAAACCCGCCCGCAUGAAGCUGGAUUCGGUAGUAAUCGCGUGUCAGAA
This 938-nucleotide ribosomal RNA is filed under the name uncultured Halobacteria archaeon. RNAcentral's name for it is "bacterial SSU rRNA". It matches the Rfam family "Archaeal small subunit ribosomal RNA", at positions 374 to 1310 of the family's 1478-position model. Lineage: Archaea; Methanobacteriati; Methanobacteriota; Halobacteria. The record is from RNAcentral.